AAUUGGCUCCAAACAUUUGUGGUGCCACAAAUCCCCCAUCCACAAUUGAUGAUACUGAAGAGCUGACCACUGAGAGCAAGUGCAUCCAUACAGCUGUCAGCCACCCAAAUCAGACCAGUCCAGAGCUCGGCCCUCUCACCAAGGCCCUUGAUGACAAAUUGGCUCCAAACAUUUGUGGUGCCACAAAUCCCCA
Long non-coding RNA from Perca fluviatilis (European perch), 193 nucleotides. RefSeq lists it as uncharacterized. NCBI's taxonomy places the organism in Eukaryota, Metazoa, Chordata, Actinopteri, Perciformes, Percidae. The transcript has 3 exons. The record is from RefSeq and is a predicted model, not a curated record.